GAUGAAGAACGUAGUGAAAUGCGAUAGGUAGUGUGAAUUGCAGAUGUAACGUGAAUCAUCGAAUCUUUGAACGCAAAUUGCACUCUCUGGUAUUCCGGGGAGUAUGCCUGUUUGAGGGUCGUCAAAAUAAACAUCGAUUUUAUUGCUUAUUUUUUUAUAUAAAAAGUAAAUAUUAUCGGAUUUGAGCUUUUCUUUUAUAUAUAAUUUUUGUAUAAAGUAGCUUAAAAUUUUUUUUUGGUAUCAAAAAGCGUAUUUUAUAUAGUCAAUUCUGAUUAAAAAACGCUUGAAUUUUUGUAUACCACCAUCAUGUAAUACGUUUGACUUGUCAUUUCUAAGUUCAUUCGUAUACGAAGUUUUUUUCAAUUUUAGACCUCAAAUCAGGUAAGAAUACCCGCUGAACUUAAGCAUAUCAAUAAGCGGAGGA
RNAcentral lists this unclassified non-coding RNA (424 nucleotides) under soil metagenome. Its description in RNAcentral is "partial contains 5.8S ribosomal RNA, internal transcribed spacer 2, and large subunit ribosomal RNA". The stretch from base 1 to 121 matches the Rfam family "5.8S ribosomal RNA", at positions 35 to 154 of the family's 154-position model. The record is from RNAcentral.